This 511-nucleotide ribosomal RNA is filed under the name Campylobacter ureolyticus. Its description in RNAcentral is "partial 23S ribosomal RNA". It matches the Rfam family "Bacterial large subunit ribosomal RNA", at positions 1016 to 1533 of the family's 2925-position model. Lineage: Bacteria; Pseudomonadati; Campylobacterota; Epsilonproteobacteria; Campylobacterales; Campylobacteraceae. The record is from RNAcentral.
AGGGGAACAACCCAGACUACCGACUAAGGUCCCAAAAUCUUAUUUAAGUGGAAAACGAUGUGAAGUUACUUAAACAACCAGGAGGUUGGCUUAGAAGCAGCCAUCCUUUAAAGAUAGCGUAAUAGCUCACUGGUCUAGUGAUUUUGCGCGGAAAAUAUAACGGGGCUAAAAUAAGUACCGAAGUCGUAGACUUAGUUUUACUAAGUGGUAGGAGAGCGUUGUAUUUAGCGUUGAAGAUGUACCGGUAAGGAGCGUUGGAGCAAAUACAAGUGAGCAUGCAGGCAUGAGUAGCGUUAAAUCAGGUGAGAAUCCUGAUCGCCGAAAACCCAAGGUUUCCUACGCGAUGCUCGUCAUCGUAGGGUUAGUCGGGUCCUAAGCAAAGUCCGAAAGGGGUAUGCGAUGGAAAAUUGGUUAAUAUUCCAAUACCAAUUAUUAUGUGCGAUGGAAGGACGCUUAAAGUUAGUGGAGCUAACUGAUGGAAUAGUUAGUCUAAGGUCGUAGGUUGAGUUAU